This 897-nucleotide ribosomal RNA is filed under the name Trichoderma stromaticum. RNAcentral describes it as "LSU rRNA". It matches the Rfam family "Eukaryotic large subunit ribosomal RNA", at positions 38 to 964 of the family's 3401-position model. Lineage: Eukaryota; Fungi; Ascomycota; Sordariomycetes; Hypocreales; Hypocreaceae. RNAcentral also lists the same sequence under 2 other names. The record is from RNAcentral.
GCAUAUCAAUAAGCGGAGGAAAAGAAACCAACAGGGAUUGCCCCAGUAACGGCGAGUGAAGCGGCAACAGCUCAAAUUUGAAAUCUGGCCCCUCGGGGUCCGAGUUGUAAUUUGUAGAGGAUGCUUUUGGUGAGGUGCCGCCCGAGUUCCCUGGAACGGGACGCCACAGAGGGUGAGAGCCCCGUCUGGCUGGCCGCCGAGCCUCUGUAAAGCUCCUUCGACGAGUCGAGUAGUUUGGGAAUGCUGCUCAAAAUGGGAGGUAUAUGUCUUCUAAAGCUAAAUAUUGGCCAGAGACCGAUAGCGCACAAGUAGAGUGAUCGAAAGAUGAAAAGCACCUUGAAAAGAGGGUUAAAUAGUACGUGAAAUUGUUGAAAGGGAAGCGCUUGUGACCAGACUUGGGCGCGGCGGAUCAUCCGGGGUUCUCUCCGGUGCACUUCGCCGCGUCUGGGCCAGCAUCAGUUCGUCGCGGGGGAAAAAGGCUUCGGGAACGUGGCUCCUCCGGGAGUGUUAUAGCCCGUUGCAUAAUACCCUGCGGUGGACUGAGGACCGCGCAUCUGCAAGGAUGCUGGCGUAAUGGUCACCAGCGACCCGUCUUGAAACACGGACCAAGGAGUCGUCUUCGUAUGCGAGUGUUCGGGUGUCAAACCCCUACGCGUAAUGAAAGUGAACGCAGGUGAGAGCUUCGGCGCAUCAUCGACCGAUCCUGAUGUUCUCGGAUGGAUUUGAGUAAGAGCAUACGGGGCCGGACCCGAAAGAAGGUGAACUAUGCCUGUAUAGGGUGAAGCCAGAGGAAACUCUGGUGGAGGCUCGCAGCGGUUCUGACGUGCAAAUCGAUCGUCAAAUAUGGGCAUGGGGGCGAAAGACUAAUCGAACCUUCUAGUAGCUGGUUUCCGCCGA